AGUGAACGCUGGCGGUAGGCCUAACACAUGCAAGUCGAACGGCAGCACAGUAAGAGCUUGCUCUUACGGGUGGCGAGUGGCGGACGGGUGAGGAAUACAUCGGAAUCUACUUUUUCGUGGGGGAUAACGUAGGGAAACUUACGCUAAUACCGCAUACGACCUACGGGUGAAAGCAGGGGAUCUUCGGACCUUGCGCGAUUGAAUGAGCCGAUGUCGGAUUAGCUAGUUGGCGGGGUAAAGGCCCACCAAGGCGACGAUCCGUAGCUGGUCUGAGAGGAUGAUCAGCCACACUGGAACUGAGACACGGUCCAGACUCCUACGGGAGGCAGCAGUGGGGAAUAUUGGACAAUGGGCGCAGGCCUGUUCCAGCCAUACCGCGUGGGUGAAGAAGGCCUUCGGGUUGUAAAGCCCUUUUGUUGGGAAAGAAAAGCAGCAGGUUAAUACCCCGCUGUUCUGACGGUACCCAAAGAAUAAGCACCGGCUAACUUCGUG
RNAcentral lists this ribosomal RNA (492 nucleotides) under uncultured bacterium. Its description in RNAcentral is "partial 16S ribosomal RNA". It matches the Rfam family "Bacterial small subunit ribosomal RNA", at positions 29 to 507 of the family's 1533-position model. The record is from RNAcentral.